GACAUGCCGGCACAGGCUAGGAAUGCCAGUGGUAGCUGUACAGCAAUAACUCAACGCAUCGUGACUUAAUUUAUUCGCCAAAAAUUGAAGACUCAAGAACGAUCGAUCAAUGUAUUUGUGCAGGCAGUACAAUUGUCGCAUUCUUCUUCUAUCUGCAACAUUUUUCAAAAUUAUUUCUUCGAGCUCCAAAACCUCAAACCCCAUCUGCUAGA
This 212-nucleotide long non-coding RNA is filed under the name Populus tremula. RNAcentral describes it as "long non-coding RNA (PTRE_LNC000520)". The record is from RNAcentral. Lineage: Eukaryota; Viridiplantae; Streptophyta; Magnoliopsida; Malpighiales; Salicaceae.